UACAGAGGGUGCGAGCGUUAAUCGGAAUUACUGGGCGUAAAGCGCGUGUAGGCGGACCACCAAGUCGGACGUGAAAGCCCUGAGCUCAACUCAGGAACUGCAUCCGAAACUGGCGGUCUGGAGUAGUGGAGAGGAAAGCAGAAUUCCUGGUGUAGAGGUGAAAUUCGUAGAUAUCAGGAGGAACACCGGUGGCGAAGGCGGCUUUCUGGACACUUACUGACGCUGAGACGCGAAAGCGUGGGGAGCAAACAGG
Molecule: ribosomal RNA, 253 nt
Filed under: uncultured bacterium
Lineage: Bacteria
Description: partial 16S ribosomal RNA
Rfam family: Bacterial small subunit ribosomal RNA
Source: RNAcentral